ACAGCGUCAAUCCGGAAAACCUCUCCGCAGAAUUCCAGAGAGUCCUGCAGGACCAGGCCAUCGCCACUCAUGUCUCGGUGAAGCUGAUCCUGCCCACCGCACUGUGUCUGAAGGGAGAAGCCGAGGAGAGUCACACUGUCCAGAGGGAGGUGGGCAGCAUCUCCAGGGACACCGAGGUCACCUUCCAGUUCAGAGUCAGGGAGCCGGACAGGCAGGCUGUCCUGUCUCAGGGGCGUGUGUCUGUCCAGCUGCAGGUCAGGUUCAGACAGCUGGAUGGACAGAGGAGACUCCGAGUAGAAUCUGUUGAGAGAGAGGUGACUGA
Non-coding RNA from Lepisosteus oculatus (spotted gar), 322 nucleotides. Lineage: Eukaryota; Metazoa; Chordata; Actinopteri; Semionotiformes; Lepisosteidae. The record is from RefSeq and is a predicted model, not a curated record.